AGGAUCUGCCAGCUGAAAUGGAAGUUAACAGUUUAGCCUCUGGCAAUAUUAUUUUUGAGAAUGCUUUCACUUUCUUAAGUUUAGGUAAAGCUAGUGGUUGAUUUGAACUAAAUAGAAUUCACUCAGUACUUUAGAACGCGUGCUACAGUGAAGAAUGGCUUCAGGAAACAAACUUUGAGAAUCAGAAUUGGAGAAUCAUAUUAUCCACGUCAACUCAGCAGUGAAAUGAUUAGUAAUUGAUUGCGUGUUCUGCACAUUGUCCCUGCAAAAUAACCGCCUUAUUCAAGAAAUUGACUGUGGAGGAAAUAGAAUUGCCUUUCAAGAUUCCUUGCAGCUGUGAUCCAAGGCAGAAAAAAAGAUAUCCCACAGCAGGAAUUCACCCAGCAACCACUGCACCUCAGCAAUGCGUACAGGAAAGGGACCUGUGCCGUGUUCAUCUCCCUCUUUAAAAUCAGCACAAAAGACAACGAUAUCAAGGGUAAAUGGUCCUAUGAAAAGAUUGUAGAAUUUUCCUCUAGAGGUUUUACUCAUAGAAGUAUUAAAGAUUUAUACUAUAUUCCUCCAGAGCUUACUAUAUGACUAGAAAUAAACAUUUCUGCAAGUCCGAGCUUGGGUAGAAUCACCACGUGGACAGUUAUCACUUAUGUAUAGAGCAUGGAUGAGGUGGGCAAUAGGAGUUGAUGGAAAAGAGCCACAGAAACAAAUAAGUCAAUUUCCACAAUGAUCUAUUCAAGAUCAUUUGAAAUAUAAGUAGCCAUGGAAAAUGCAUUUAUGAUCAUCAACAAUUAUUCACUACAACGUGCACUUGAAAACUAUGCUUAAAUUAACCCAAUAUAUGUGAAUUGGAAACAAGAAUUUCUACUCCCAGAUCUUUUCUUUUAAAAAAAGCUAUUUAGCCGUGGGUAAUAAGUGCAAGGCCUGAUAGUAUCUUAUUCUCUUUUUUUUUUUUU
RNAcentral lists this long non-coding RNA (950 nucleotides) under Equus caballus (horse). RNAcentral describes it as "lncRNA (ENSECAG00000035877.3)". Lineage: Eukaryota; Metazoa; Chordata; Mammalia; Perissodactyla; Equidae. The record is from RNAcentral.